AAGGUUAACCGAAUAGGGGAGCCGGAGGGAAACCGAGUCUUAAUUGGGCGUUAAGUUGCAGGGUAUAGACCCGAAACCCGGUGAUCUAGCCAUGGGCAGGUUGAAGGUUGGGUAACACUAACUGGAGGACCGAACCGACUAAUGUUGAAAAAUUAGCGGAUGACCUGUGGCUGGGGGUGAAAGGCCAAUCAAACCGGGAGAUAGCUGGUUCUCCCCGAAAGCUAUUUAGGUAGCGCCUCGUGAAUUCAUCUCCGGGGGUAGAGCACUGUUUCGGCUAGGGGGCCAUCCCGGCUUACCAACCCGAUGCAAACUGCGAAUACCGGAGAAUGUUAUCACGGGAGACACACGGCGGGUGCUAACGUCCGUCGUGAAGAGGGAAACAACCCAGACCGCCAGCUAAGGUCCCAAAGUCAUGGUUAAGUGGGAAACGAUGUGGGAAGGCCCAGACAGCCAGGAUGUUGGCUUAGAAGCAGCCAUCAUUUAAAGAAAGCGUAAUAGCUCACUGGUCGAGUCGGCCUGCGCGGAAGAUGUAACGGGGCUAAACCAUGCACCGAAGCUGCGGCAGCGACACUGUGUGUUGUUGGGUAGGGGAGCGUUCUGUAAGCCUGUGAAGGUGUGUCGUGAGGCAUGCUGGAGGUAUCAGAAGUGCGAAUGCUGACAUAAGUAACGAUAAAGCGGGUGAAAAGCCCGCUCGCCGGAAGACCAAGGGUUCCUGUCCAACGUUAAUCGGGGCAGGGUGAGUCGACCCCUAAGGCGAGGCCGAAAGGCGUAGUCGAUGGGAAACGGGUUAAUAUUCCCGUACUUGGUGUUACUGCGAAGGGGGGACGGAGAAGGCUAUGUUGGCCGGGCGACGGUUGUCCCGGUUUAAGCGUGUAGGUGUGUGUUCCAGGUAAAUCCGGUUCACUUUAACACUGAGGCGUGACGACGAGGCACUACGGUGCUGAAGCAACAAAUGCCCUGCUUCCAGGAAAAGCCUCUAAGCAUCAGGUAACAUCAAAUCGUACCCCAAACCGACACAGGUGGUCAGGUAGAGAAUACCAAGGCGCUUGAGAGAACUCGGGUGAAGGAACUAGGCAAAAUGGUGCCGUAACUUCGGGAGAAGGCACGCUGACACGUAGGUGAAGUGAUUUACUCAUGGAGCUGAAGUCAGUCGAAGAUACCAGCUGGCUGCAACUGUUUAUUAAAAACACAGCACUGUGCAAACACGAAAGUGGACGUAUACGGUGUGACGCCUGCCCGGUGCCGGAAGGUUAAUUGAUGGGGUCAGCGCAAGCGAAGCUCCUGAUCGAAGCCCCGGUAAACGGCGGCCGUAACUAUAACGGUCCUAAGGUAGCGAAAUUCCUUGUCGGGUAAGUUCCGACCUGCACGAAUGGCGUAAUGAUGGCCAGGCUGUCUCCACCCGAGACUCAGUGAAAUUGAACUCGCUGUGAAGAUGCAGUGUACCCGCGGCAAGACGGAAAGACCCCGUGAACCUUUACUAUAGCUUGACACUGAACAUUGAGCCUUGAUGUGUAGGAUAGGUGGGAGGCUUUGAAGCGUGGACGCCAGUCUGCGUGGAGCCG
Molecule: ribosomal RNA, 1562 nt
Filed under: Salmonella enterica subsp. enterica serovar Stanley
Lineage: Bacteria; Pseudomonadati; Pseudomonadota; Gammaproteobacteria; Enterobacterales; Enterobacteriaceae
Description: partial 23S ribosomal RNA
Rfam family: Bacterial large subunit ribosomal RNA
Source: RNAcentral